GAUGAACGCUGACAGAAUGCUUAACACAUGCCAGUCAACUUGAAUUUGGGUUUUUAACUUAGGUUUGGGUGGCGGACGGGUGAGUAACGCGUAAAGAACUUGCCUCACAGCUAGGGACAACAUUUGGAAACGAAUGCUAAUACCUAAUAUUAUGAUAAUAGGGCAUCCUAUAAUUAUGAAAGCUAUAAGCGCUGUGAGAGAGCUUUGCGUCCCAUUAGCUAGUUGGAGAGGUAACGGCUCACCAAGGCGAUGAUGGGUAGUCGGCCUGAGAGGGUGAUCGGCCACAAGGGGACUGAGACACGGCCCUUACUCCUACGGGAGGCAGCAGUGGGGAAUAUUGGACAAUGGACCAAGAGUCUGAUCCAGCAAUUCUGUGUGCACGAUGAAGUUUUUCGGAAUGUAAAGUGCUUUCAGUUGGGAAGAAAGAAAUGACGGUACCAACAGAAGAAGUGACGGCUAAAUACGUG
This 467-nucleotide ribosomal RNA is filed under the name uncultured bacterium. RNAcentral's name for it is "partial 16S ribosomal RNA". It matches the Rfam family "Bacterial small subunit ribosomal RNA", at positions 28 to 507 of the family's 1533-position model. The record is from RNAcentral.